RNAcentral lists this unclassified non-coding RNA (345 nucleotides) under soil metagenome. RNAcentral's name for it is "partial contains 5.8S ribosomal RNA, internal transcribed spacer 2, and large subunit ribosomal RNA". The stretch from base 1 to 119 matches the Rfam family "5.8S ribosomal RNA", at positions 35 to 154 of the family's 154-position model. The record is from RNAcentral.
GAUGAAGAACGCAGUGAAAUGCGAUACGUAAUGUGAAUUGCAAAUUCAGUGAAUCAUCGAGUCUUUGAACGCACAUUGCGCCCCCUGGUAUUCCGGGGGGCAUGCCUGUCCGAGCGUCAUUGCUGCCCUCAAGCACGGCUUGUGUGUUGGGCCCCGUCCUCCGAUCCCGGGGGACGGGCCCGAAAGGCAGCGGCGGCACCGCGUCCGGUCCUCGAGCGUAUGGGGCUUUGUCACCCGCUCUGUAGGCCCGGCCGGCGCUUGCCGAUCAACCCAAAUUUUUAUCCAGGUUGACCUCGGAUCAGGGAGGGAUACCCGCUGAACUUAAGCAUAUCAAUAAGCGGAGGA